UACGUAGGUGGCAAGCGUUGUCCGGAUUUACUGGGCGUAAAGAGCGCGCAGGCGGUCGUUCAAGUCGCGUGUGAAAGCCCCCGGCUCAACUGGGGAGGGUCACGCGAUACUGAUCGACUCGAAGGCAGGAGAGGGAAGUGGAAUUCCCGGUGUAGUGGUGAAAUGCGUAGAUAUCGGGAGGAACACCAGUGGCGAAGGCGACUUUCUGGUCUGUAACUGACGCUGAGGCGCGAAAGCGUGGGUAGCAAACAGG
RNAcentral lists this ribosomal RNA (253 nucleotides) under uncultured bacterium. Its description in RNAcentral is "partial 16S ribosomal RNA". It matches the Rfam family "Bacterial small subunit ribosomal RNA", at positions 524 to 776 of the family's 1533-position model. The record is from RNAcentral.